GCCAAUGUGGCAUAGUGGUUUGAGCAUUGGAUUAUGAGCCUGGAGAUCAGGGUUCAAGUCCCUGCUCAGCCA
Molecule: non-coding RNA, 72 nt
Organism: Phrynosoma platyrhinos (Desert horned lizard)
Lineage: Eukaryota; Metazoa; Chordata; Lepidosauria; Squamata; Phrynosomatidae
Source: the annotation of a GenBank genome assembly